UCAAACACAGAACAAACACAAAAGAAGAGGGGAGAGACAAAUCAGAAGGGAACAGUGACAAAGAAGAGGGGAGCGGCCACCAGCGAUAUUUCUUUUCCCUCUUUCAAUAAAACCUAACGUUUCUCUCCUUGAGCCUCUUUCAGUUGGCCAUCGAUCGAAGCAAGCGGCAAGCCCUAAGCCCUAAAUGAUAAUCGUAUGGCUUAAAGACGAAAUCUGAAGAUUGUGUUUAAAUUUCUCUAACCUCUCUCGCCCUUUGUCUAAUCGGAAGGGAAAGUCUUGUUAGUGUUUGCUGGUUCAAUAAGUGAGAAUCUGAAGGAGGAGGAAACCCAGCUCUCUCUCUCCUCUCCUGGUACAAGAAUCAAAGUUGAGAUUCUCAUCAUGCUUUGAUGGUUUGUGGACUUGGAGACUUCCAUUUUUGUGAAGGUACAAGAAUCAAGGUUGCGAUUCUCGUCAUGCUUGGAUGAUUGGUGGACUUGAAGAUUUUCAUUUCUUGUAAAGGUUGGCUUGAAAAGCCAUUUACCUUAUAUAUCAAAAUAUGUAUAUUUGAAUUUAAAUAUGUAAUGUGUAUAUGAGUGCACUCCUUACAAUGUAUUUGACAUGUAUAAGAUGAGACCGGAGGCCAAUGACAUGUAUUUGUAUUCUAUGUAGUUUUGACUUCAUGAUAUAUUAUGAAAAUAUUGAAAAAUGUUAAGUUAUUAUCUCA
Long non-coding RNA from Cornus florida, 703 nucleotides. RefSeq lists it as uncharacterized. The transcript is spliced from 4 exons. NCBI's taxonomy places the organism in Eukaryota, Viridiplantae, Streptophyta, Magnoliopsida, Cornales, Cornaceae. The record is from RefSeq and is a predicted model, not a curated record.